This 485-nucleotide ribosomal RNA is filed under the name uncultured bacterium. RNAcentral's name for it is "partial 16S ribosomal RNA". It matches the Rfam family "Bacterial small subunit ribosomal RNA", at positions 355 to 849 of the family's 1533-position model. The record is from RNAcentral.
UGGGGAAUAUUGGACAAUGGGCGGAAGCCUGAUCCAGCAACGCCGCGUGAGGGAUGACGGCCUUCGGGUUGUAAACCUCUUUCAGUACCGACGAAGCGAAAGUGACGGUAGGUACAGAAGAAGGACCGGCCAACUACGUGCCAGCAGCCGCGGUAAUACGUAGGGUCCGAGCGUUGUCCGGAAUUAUUGGGCGUAAAGGGCUCGUAGGCGGUUUGUCGCGUCGGGAGUGAAAACAGCGGGCUUAACUCGUUGCUUGCUUUCGAUACGGGCAGACUAGAGGUAUGCAGGGGAGAAUGGAAUUCCUGGUGUAGCGGUGAAAUGCGCAGAUAUCAGGAGGAACACCGGUGGCGAAGGCGGUUCUCUGGGCAUUACCUGACGCUGAGGAGNGAAAGUGUGGGGAGCGAACAGGAUUAGAUACCCUGGUAGUCCACACCGUAAACGUUGGGGCGCUAGGUGUGGGGUCCUUUCCACGGAUUCCGUGCCGU